AUGCUUCCGCGGGCAUGGUUUCUGUUCCUCUUACCGCUCUUCCUCUUGUUUCUGCAUUAUUAUUGCUUCACUGCGAAUGGGAAGACGGGGAAAAGGCAGCAGCGAGAAAGCCGCCUCCCGCCUUCUCCACCGGCACUGCCCAUCAUCGGGCACCUGCACCUUGUUGGCUCUCUCCCGCACAUCUCGCUCCGUGCCCUUGCUGCAAGGCACAGCCGCGACGGCCUCAUGCUCCUCCGUCUCGGCGCCGUGCAGACGCUCAUCGUGUCGUCGCCGCGUGCCGCGGAGGCGGUGCUGCGCACGCACGACCACGUCUUUGCGUCACGGCCCCGCUCCAUGUUCCCCGACAUCAUCUUGUACGGCCCAUCUGACGUUGCCUUUGCGCCAUAUGGCGAGCACUGGCGGCAGGCGAAGAAGAUCCUCACGAACCAUGUGUUGAGUGUUAAAAAAGUGCAUUCUUCCCGCAACGCCGCCACAGAGGAGGUGACCUUGGUGAUGACCAAGAUUAAGGAGGUCGCCGCAAUAGGUGGUGUAGUGGACAUGAGUGAGCUUCUCAAGUCAUUCACAUAUGACAUGGCAUGUCGGAUCGUGUUGGGAAAGUCCUUUCAGACAGAAGGAUGGAGCAAGCUCCUUCGGGAACUCACUGACGAUACCUCACGAAUACUAGGAGGAUUCAACUUGGAGGAGUACUUUCCAACAUUGGCUAGGGUUGGAGUGCUUAAGAGGGUGGUUUGUGCAAAGGCUGAGAGAGUGAGGUGUAGAUGGGCAUAUUUGCUGGAUAAGUUGAUCGAUGAACGUGUGAGCAUGGACAAGUCAAUAUUUGAUAAAAAGGAUGGUGAUUUCAUAGAUAUUCUGUUGUCUGCUCAGCAUGAGUAUGGUCUCACAAGAGAGAGAGUGAAAGCUCUCCUGACAGAUGUAUUUUUCGGUUCAGCAGACACUGUAGCUAAUACUCUAGAUUUCACCUUGGCCGAGUUGAUGAGGAGGCCACGCCUAUUGGAGAAGCUACAAGCUGAGGUGAGGAGUAUCGUACCCCGGGGACAAGAAGCUAUAACCGAAACCGACAUGAACAAGAUGACAUACUUAAGAGCAGUCUUCAAGGAGUCACUUCGGAUGUAUCCUGUUGCGCCUCUCCUUGCUCCACACCUUGCCAUGGCUGAUUGCAACAUCGAUGGGUACAUGGUUCCUGCUGGGACACAUGUGCUUGUCAAUGUAUGGGCCAUUGGUAGAGAUUCCAGCUCUUGGCAGGAUGCAGAAGAGUUCAUACCUGAAAGAUUUAUAUAUGAAGAUAGCAAUGUGGAUGUCAAUUUCAAGGGGAAUGAUUUCAAAUUCUUGCCAUUUGGGUCAGGACGAAGGAUGUGCCCUGGUAUAAACCUCGGGAUCGCCAAUUUUGAGCUUAUGUUGGCAAACCUCAUGUACCAUUUUGAAUGGGAAUUGCCACCAAGGGUGGAGAGGAAAGACAUUGAUAUGACAGAGGUCUUUGGGCUAACCGUGCGCCGGAAGGAUAAGCUACUGUUAAUUCCAAAAUCAUUCAAGUAG
This 1533-nucleotide ribosomal RNA is filed under the name Triticum aestivum (bread wheat). RNAcentral describes it as "partial small subunit ribosomal RNA". The record is from RNAcentral. Lineage: Eukaryota; Viridiplantae; Streptophyta; Magnoliopsida; Poales; Poaceae.